This is a long non-coding RNA of Apodemus sylvaticus (European woodmouse), 1078 nucleotides long. RefSeq lists it as uncharacterized. The transcript has 3 exons. The record is from RefSeq and is a predicted model, not a curated record. NCBI's taxonomy places the organism in Eukaryota, Metazoa, Chordata, Mammalia, Rodentia, Muridae.
UCAGCCUCAGCCUCAGCCUCAGCCUCAGAGGCCGUCCACUGAGCCGGCAUGAGCACAUCCUGGUCUGGUGUGCAGACACAGCCUCUCCAUCCACCCUCCCCCCUUCACUCCUGCAACAACUUACAGGUGACCAGCAUCAGGAGUUUCUGCUGUGAGUCACUGCCAUGGAAACUGGGCGUCCUGCAUCUGCUCUGACAGUCCUGUGGACCCUGCUAGAAUGGAUGGAUAAACAAUGGAUGAAGAGGUUCGCUAUAACCAUACGUACAACUGAAAGCAAUCCAGGAAAAAAAAAUCACACGUGCUCCACUUUCUCCUUCCUCUCAUGGUGACUGCUGGCUUUCUCUUAGGAACCUGUCUUAUUCUUUGCUUGGUGGACUUUUUGUUUCUCCUAUGAUACUCCCCCCGCCAGGCUCUCAGGUGCCAGUGUGGGCAGUCCUGGGUGAUCUUUCUCUACCCCUACAUAGAGCCGUGUGUACAGUCCUGGGUGAUCUUUCUCUACCCCCACGGAGAGCUCAAUGGUCUCCUGGCCGCUGAUUUAACACUUGAGUGCUGUCGUCGGGGAAGCUUGGUGGGCUCUGCUCCAGCUGCUGUGCACAGCUGCCUGACUGAAGAUUCAGGGCCAGGUCUGACAUGCCAUGAGUGGCUUGCCAGAUCCCAAGGAGGGCAGCCGAGGGCACAGCCAAGCCAGCAGGCCAGGCACCGCGGGUGGCAGGUAGCCAGGCCAGGCCAGAGCCGUUCCAGGCAGCCCACGGCCAGCUGCUCGUGGUUAUAUUUAGGCCUUACUGCCAGGGACAGCAGGACGCUGGGGCUCCCCAGGCCAAGGGACCAUACGCUGCCUAAGUGGUCCUUGGCAUUGGACAUGUGAGAUUGUUUUCCAUUUUAAGGACAUUAUUUUAAAAUGUUUCCAUGAAGGGAAAGGGAGGAAGGGAAUGAAAACCGAUCUGGAAGAAGAGGCCCGAAAGAAAUGCAGCAGCAACAACCGCAAAUCCUUGUUUGCAUUCCGACGGCCGCCGCCGCUGCUGAACCAACUCCAAAGAGAUCACUGGAGACAUCUGGGAAUUCGCACACAGGCUGAGAA